AGCACUUGUGUGUGUUUUUAACUUGUGAACAAAGACAGGUGCAAAAGUAAAUGCUCUUUUGCAACCCAGAACUCAUUGUACAGUAUGAGUUUUGUUACAUAUUAGAAGGAAUAUG
This 115-nucleotide small nucleolar RNA is filed under the name Castor canadensis (American beaver). Its description in RNAcentral is "Small nucleolar RNA SNORA40 (ENSCCNG00000002256.1)". It matches the Rfam family "Small nucleolar RNA SNORA40". From Rfam's summary of the family: The snoRNA ACA 40 belongs to the H/ACA family of snoRNAs and guides the pseudouridylation of 28S rRNA subunit at position U4565. NB This family has a high threshold value to exclude a large number of closely related sequences that do not appear to have conserved H and ACA boxes, and may be pseudogenes. Lineage: Eukaryota; Metazoa; Chordata; Mammalia; Rodentia; Castoridae. The record is from Rfam by way of RNAcentral.